Molecule: ribosomal RNA, 416 nt
Filed under: Rhizobium sp. VAC46
Lineage: Bacteria; Pseudomonadati; Pseudomonadota; Alphaproteobacteria; Hyphomicrobiales; Rhizobiaceae
Description: bacterial SSU rRNA
Rfam family: Bacterial small subunit ribosomal RNA
Source: RNAcentral
CCCUUGAAAAUGUCCGGCUCACCACAGAGAUGUGGUCUCUUCCCUUCGGGGACCGGAACACAGGUGCUGCAUGGCUGUCGUCAGCUCGUGUCGUGAGAUGUUGGGUUAAGUCCCGCAACGAGCGCAACCCUCGCCCUUAGUUGCCAGCAUUCAGUUGGGCACUCUAAGGGGACUGCCGGUGAUAAGCCGAGAGGAAGGUGGGGAUGACGUCAAGUCCUCAUGGCCCUUACGGGCUGGGCUACACACGUGCUACAAUGGUGGUGACAGUGGGCAGCGAAGGAGCGAUCCCGAGCUAAUCUCCAAAAGCCAUCUCAGUUCGGAUUGCACUCUGCAACUCGAGUGCAUGAAGUUGGAAUCGCUAGUAAUCGCGGAUCAGCACGCCGCGGUGAAUACGUUCCCGGGUCUUGUACACACCG